AAGUUAGUGGCGGACGGGUGAGUAACGCGUGGGUAACCUGCCUUGUACUGGGGGACAACAGUUGGAAACGACUGCUAAUACCGCAUAAGCGCACAGUACCGCAUGGUACAGUGUGAAAAACUCCGGUGGUGUGAGAUGGACCCGCGUUGGAUUAGCUAGUUGGUGAGGUAACGGCCCACCAAGGCGACGAUCCAUAGCCGGCCUGAGAGGGUGAACGGCCACAUUGGGACUGAGACACGGCCCAGACUCC
Molecule: ribosomal RNA, 250 nt
Filed under: uncultured Eubacteriales bacterium
Lineage: Bacteria; Bacillati; Bacillota; Clostridia; Eubacteriales
Description: uncultured Clostridiales bacterium partial 16S ribosomal RNA
Rfam family: Bacterial small subunit ribosomal RNA
Source: RNAcentral